GAUGAACGCUGGCGGCGUGCCUAAUACAUGCAAGUCGAGCGAACAGAUAAGGAGCUUGCUCCUUUGACGUUAGCGGCGGACGGGUGAGUAACGCGUGGAUAACCUACCUAUAAGACUGGGAUAACUUCGGGAAACCGGAGCUAAUACCGGAUAACAUAUUGAACCGCAUGGUUCAAUAGUGAAAGGCGGCUUUACUGUCACUUAUAGAUGGAUCCGCGCCGUAUUAGCUAGUUGGUAAGGUAACGGCUUACCAAGGCAACGAUACGUAGCCGACCUGAGAGGGUGAUCGGCCACACUGGAACUGAGACACGGUCCAGACUCCUACGGGAGGCAGCAGUAGGGAAUCUUCCGCAAUGGGCGAAAGCCUGACGGAGCAACGCCGCGUGAGUGAUGAAGGUCUUCGGAUCGUAAAACUCUGUUAUCAGGGAAGAACAAAUGUGUAAGUAACUGUGCACAUCUUGACGGUACCUGAUCAGAAAGCCACGGCUAACUACGUG
RNAcentral lists this ribosomal RNA (497 nucleotides) under uncultured bacterium. RNAcentral's name for it is "partial 16S ribosomal RNA". It matches the Rfam family "Bacterial small subunit ribosomal RNA", at positions 28 to 507 of the family's 1533-position model. The record is from RNAcentral.